GGAAAAGAAACCAACCGGGAUUGCCUUAGUAACGGCGAGUGAAGCGGCAAAAGCUCAAAUUUGAAAUCUGGUACCUUUCGGUGCCCGAGUUGUAAUUUGGAGAAAGUGAUUCUGGGACUGGCCCUUGCCUAUGUUCCUUGGAACAGGACGUCAUAGAGGGUGAGAACCCCGUGAGGCGAGGUGAUCCAGUUCUUUGUAGAACGCUUUCGAAGAGUCGAGUUGUUUGGGAAUGCAGCUCUAAGUGGGUGGUAAAUUCCAUCUAAAGCUAAAUACAGGCGAGAGACCGAUAGCGAACAAGUACAGUGAUGGAAAGAUGAAAAGAACUUUGAAAAGAGAGUGAAAAAGGACGUGAAAUUGUUGAAAGGGAAGGGCAUUUGAUCAGACAUGGUGUUUUGUGCCCCUCGCUCCUCGUGGGUGGGGGAAUCUCGCAGCUCACUGGGCCAGCAUCAGUUUUGGCGGCAGGAUAAAUUUCUGGGAAUGUG
RNAcentral lists this ribosomal RNA (482 nucleotides) under Zygosaccharomyces rouxii. RNAcentral's name for it is "eukaryotic LSU rRNA". It matches the Rfam family "Eukaryotic large subunit ribosomal RNA", at positions 55 to 537 of the family's 3401-position model. The record is from RNAcentral. Lineage: Eukaryota; Fungi; Ascomycota; Saccharomycetes; Saccharomycetales; Saccharomycetaceae.